This 393-nucleotide ribosomal RNA is filed under the name uncultured bacterium. RNAcentral describes it as "bacterial SSU rRNA". It matches the Rfam family "Bacterial small subunit ribosomal RNA", at positions 28 to 420 of the family's 1533-position model. The record is from RNAcentral.
GACGAACGCUGGCGGCGUGCCUAACACAUGCAAGUCGAACGGAGUGAAGCCCUUCGGGACUUUACUUAGUGGCGAACGGGUGAGUAACGCGUGAGGAACCUGCCUUUCAGUGGGGGACAACAGUUGGAAACGACUGCUAAUACCGCAUAAGCCCACGGUGCCGCAUGGCACAGAGGGAAAAGGAGUAAUCCGCUUUGAGAUGGACCCGCGUCUGAUUAGCUUGUUGGUGAGGUAACGGCCCACCAAGGCGACGAUCAGUAGCCGGCCUGAGAGGGUGAACGGCCACAUUGGGACUGAGACACGGCCCAAACUCCUACGGGAGGCAGCAGUGGGAAUAUUGCACAAUGGGGGAAACCCUGAUGCAGCGAGCCGCGUGAGUGAUGAAGUAUUCGG